Long non-coding RNA from Biomphalaria glabrata, 2225 nucleotides. RefSeq lists it as uncharacterized. The transcript has 4 exons. Lineage: Eukaryota; Metazoa; Mollusca; Gastropoda; Planorbidae. The record is from RefSeq and is a predicted model, not a curated record.
AUCCCAUUCAUGGAACUAUACUAAUGGAACACCAGCUUCGAGAUUUUAUGAUCAGAGUGCCGUCGCGCAUCUUUUUCGCGCACCAUACCAUUUUGAAAAAUCGAUGAGCAUGCCAAAGAAGAAAUUUACUCCGAGAGCCACUUGGAUUGACCUUCAUUGAGAGUAAAACUUCCCCACACUAUAUUUUAUUAGAUCUGUAAAAACUUUAUCCAUUUUCUGACUAUCUGAUAAAAUAGAUACAAUUUCCCUGAAUAAUGGAACGUCAAAAAAGAUUUUUUUUUAAGGCCACUUCGUUAAAAUAGGUGUUUCCAGUACUUUCUCAUUUGGGUAUUUUACACAAAAUCUGGAAUUUUUUUUUAUGUACAUGUCAUUAUUAUCAUCUGUCCCGCGCAACCAAACCAUGCACUUUUCCCGGUCACCAAUGUUCUUAACAAGAUAUCAAGAGAGAGAGGCUGGUCCAUUAUUUGCAUAGUCCAGACAGCUUUUUUUUUUUGACAACCUUUUUUCGUUCUCUCUCAUGAAGGAUAUGUUUUGAAAAUUAGUCUUACAAAAUACAAUUCCAAACCAACUCAUGCAGUUAUCGUCUUUUCACAGUAUUGAGGAGUCAUCCUUUUUGCUAGCCAGAGUGUUAAUUGGCAAAAGUGAAAAAUUCAUUUGUUUAAUUUUUUAAAGUAAAUAUUCAUAACUAUAUCUUUUAUAUAAUAAUAUAUUUUUAAAAUAAUAAUCUUUUAUAUCGACAUGCUUUAAUAGAUCUAAUAAAUGAUUAACUCGGACCUACCAAUAUGGGUAUAUAAAUACUUAAAUCUGGGUAUUUAAAAUUUCGAAUGCGAAUUAAAAAAAAACCGAACUUAUAUAUAGAUCUAGAUCUCUUGUAUAAUAUCUAGAAUAAUAUAGAUCUACAACACCUAGACUAAAGUUAAAGACUAAGUUAUUAACAAGUAGAACCAUGGCAACCAGUUCUGAUGAUGUACCAGAAUGGCUCAAGGAUCAUACUUAUACUAUUUCUACUCUCUGGGCAGACAUUGAUAAUAUUGGCAUCCAUUCAAUAUUUAAUUUAUGUUUGGAAAUGCAAGAAAAAGGCAUGCAUUCCUGAGGAGUCAAUUAUUGGUUGCACCUCUUAAAGAUAACUUUCUGUUAUGAGAAAAGAUGAGAUUCUUGGACUCCUGCAUAGCACCACCAGAAAGGAAAAUCCCAUCAUGUUGCAAAAUAAAAGUCUUGGACCAAUUUUAAGAUAUAUAUAUUAUACUGUAAGCUGUUUACAUAUUUAUGUAUAUCCUGUCAUUCAGCCAACAGGUUUGGAUUUAGUAUUUCUUUAAAUCUGUUUGAUAUUGUACUUGAAAACUAUUAAUCUGAGCCCCAUUAAAACAAGAGGGAGUGCAGUGGAUGAGUGGUAAGGGAAAUUUUACUUUUUUUAAAUUAAAGUAAGAAUCUAACAAAAGUAAACAUAUAAAAUAUGGUGCAUUCUCCUUAAAACUAAAACCUGGUGCAAAGGUUUAAAAUGUUGGCAAAAAAAAAGCAACAUCAAUUAAAUAUUCUUAAUUCCCUUUGCAAAACUUACUGAGAAGAACAUGCAUGUUGUUCCCUCAUAAGUUUCUUGACAAAGGAAAUCUUGUUUAUAUUAGAUUUGAAUUAAGCAAAUUAAGAAAAAAAUUAUAAUCAUUAUUUCAAAUGGUUGUAUCUAAACCUUAUGAAUUAUUUUUCAGUUAUAAGUAUAUUGAAAUGAAUGGAUAAUCAUGAAAUUGUUAAAUAAUUGCUGCUAUCAUUCCAUUGACUAAAGAACCAUAAUUUUUUUUUUUUAUUAAUUUCAAAAUGAUUUUUUUCAAGCAGAGUUCACAUAGAUCUUGAGUGAAAUUUUUCUUAUUUUUUACUAAUGCUUCAAUUUUAUUGUAUCAUUAGUUUUUUUAUUUUUAUUACCCAGAAUAUUUAAAAAAUGAGUACACUAUUUUCAUGUAAUAAUGUAACUUGGUAUUCACACAUCAAAAUACGCUAUAAUCUUUAGGCCAUAUAGAUUUGUAUAAAUAUAAAUUAAUUUGCUUAAAUACAUUGUAAAUGUAUAUUGUUUGGAUAAGAAUAAAGUUUUUCUGUAGACAAUUAUUGUUCAAGAUUUGUUGAUGCUCCUGCUUAAUAAAUUAUAUAUACAGGUCAUUAGUUUUAACACACUACUGACACAAGAAAAACUGGUCGCCCUCACUUCCAUUACAUAGAUGUAAUAAAACGUGACCUCA